ACGAAUUGUUUAAUUCUUCUUAUCAAACAGAUUCAAAAUAUUGUGGAGCUGAAAGAAGAGCAGCACAGUGUAAAGGGAAAAAGGAUACACAACACGGAACAAGAAGAAGAUGACAGUCUCUCGGACUCCGGCUGCAGCUCCGAUCCGACUUGAAUUCUAGUGAUGAGAUAAUUACAAUUUUUUUCUUCAAAGUUUGCAUGUGCUGUAUCAUUGAAUUUUAAGUGCUUCCGUUCUUCUUUAUCAGUUAAUUAAUCAUAUAAUUUGGAACCGAGGGG
RNAcentral lists this long non-coding RNA (275 nucleotides) under Panax ginseng (ginseng). RNAcentral's name for it is "long non-coding RNA (PGIN_LNC011648)". Lineage: Eukaryota; Viridiplantae; Streptophyta; Magnoliopsida; Apiales; Araliaceae. The record is from RNAcentral.